Molecule: ribosomal RNA, 561 nt
Filed under: Helicobacter pylori
Lineage: Bacteria; Pseudomonadati; Campylobacterota; Epsilonproteobacteria; Campylobacterales; Helicobacteraceae
Description: bacterial LSU rRNA
Rfam family: Bacterial large subunit ribosomal RNA
Source: RNAcentral
AAAGUGAACUCUGCAAACUAGCACCGUAAGUUCGCGAUAAGGUGUGCCGCAGCAAUGCGGUCUCAGCAAAGAGUCCCUCCCGACUGUUUACCAAAAACACAGCACUUUGCCAACUCGUAAGAGGAAGUAUAAGGUGUGACGCCUGCCCGGUGCUCGAAGGUUAAGAGGAUGCGUCAGUCGCAAGAUGAAGCGUUGAAUUGAAGCCCGAGUAAACGGCGGCCGUAACUAUAACGGUCCUAAGGUAGCGAAAUUCCUUGUCGGUUAAAUACCGACCUGCAUGAAUGGCGUAACGAGAUGGGAGCUGUCUCAACCAGAGAUUCAGUGAAAUUGUAGUGGAGGUGAAAAUUCCUCCUACCCGCGGCAAGACGGAAAGACCCCGUGGACCUUUACUACAACUUAGCACUGCUAACGGGAAUAUCAUGCGCAGGAUAGGUGGGAGGCUUUGAAGUAAGGGCUUUGGCUCUUAUGGAGCCAUCCUUGAGAUACCACCCUUGAUGUUUCUGUUAGCUAACUGGCCUGUGUUAUCCACAGGCAGGACAAUGCUUGGUGGGUAGUUUGACU